GUCCACGCCCUAAACGAUGGAUACUCGACAUUUGCGAUACACAGCAAGUGUCUGAGCGAAAGCAUUAAGUAUCCCACCUGGGAAGUACGAUCGCAAGAUUGAAACUCAAAGGAAUUUGCGGGGUCCGCACAAGCGGUUGAGCAUGUGGUUUAAUUCGAUGAUACGCGAGGAACCUUACCUGGGCUAGAAUGUUGGGAGACCGUGGGUGAAAGCUCACUUUGUAGCAUACACUGCCAAUAAGGUGCUGCAUGGCUGUCGU
This 259-nucleotide ribosomal RNA is filed under the name uncultured bacterium. RNAcentral describes it as "partial 16S ribosomal RNA". It matches the Rfam family "Bacterial small subunit ribosomal RNA", at positions 793 to 1055 of the family's 1533-position model. The record is from RNAcentral.